This is a small nuclear RNA of Rhipicephalus microplus (southern cattle tick), 168 nucleotides long. RefSeq annotates it as U1 spliceosomal RNA. Lineage: Eukaryota; Metazoa; Arthropoda; Arachnida; Ixodida; Ixodidae. The record is from RefSeq and is a predicted model, not a curated record.
AUACUUACCUGGUGCUGGGUCAGUGGUAAUCACGGAGGCCGCGGCCCCCAUGCCGAGGUCGUUCCGUUGCACUGCGGUUGGCUGAUAAGCACGCCACUUCCCCAAGUCGGGGUAGCUAAAGCAUGCAAUUUCCGGUAAUGGGGCUAUAGGCGUACGCGCCAGCUCCUA